UCGCAGAUCGCAGUGGAGCCUCGUGCCAUCCCUCCACGGAUUUUGGAGUUGUUACAUCUAUUUUUUUGUGUGUUGUGCUCCGUGGUAGAGAAAAGUCAAAGGGAAGGGGAAGUGAGCCGAGUGAUUGCGAUUUUUGUGCGCGCUGUGAUAUUUGCCCCCGUCAUUGGGGUCUUUGAACUGCGCCAUGCGUUCGGCACCGCCGCACCCCCGCCCCACCCGCGCUGCCGCCCACAGAGCAACCGAAAGCGGUAUCGCCUCGUUUUGGGCUUCGUGCAACUCCAAAAGUGUGACGGCGUCUGUGGCCAUUAUCGCGAGGAGCGUUUCGCGUUUCGCGUUGCCCGAUAAGUGCAGUAAACCCACCCCCAUAGCCCCCGCUCGCCCGCGAGGGGCAAUCAGUUAUUGGCCCGCCGCCGCUCUAAUGAACGUUGAACUGCAAAUUGCAAAAGCGUACGAAAAUAACAAACAAACGCGAAACUCGCUCUCUCUAGCGGGACAUCCGCGUCGCUCGCACCAACACACAGGCAUGCGUAAUAAUAAGUGUAAUAAAUGGGUGCAUUCACCUCGGCACUGGAACGGGCACAUCUCUAUCUGGAUCUGGUGACUGUCUAGCGGGAGAUCACUCACUUGGAACUAUUUAACUUUGCAGAGUUUUCUGCAUUGGCAAUCCCGUUUCCCGUUCAAACUGAGAAGAUCCGCAUGCUGAGGCUGGGCAAGAUGUGCACUUCGGGGGCGAUUCAGGCAGGUAAGCUCACUCCCUAGUUCUGCAGAUAAGAUAAGACAACCUUGGUUCGCGGUUCGUUUAUCUAACUGAGACGGUACCCCUGCAUCUGAAGCCAAGGCCACGGGGUUAUCCCUCCUAUUGCGACCCGGGUACCACGUCAUCCACGACUUAUCGGCUGCCUAGGACAAAUAUUGGCCAUAGCUCAGCUAGCAGACGGGACGAGGCACAACAAUCUCCAUCAAACCAAGCUACUUGUAAACUAGAUACCAAACUUUGAUGUAGGGAAUGGAUUUCUGAUGCAUGGGCACCCCCUUACCAAUAUACCCGGAUAUAAACUUUUGGCGACAAUGUGCAAAUAAAUAAAUAAAUGUACCCGGAAUACCAGGAUGUUAUAAAGGGAUACACAAGUUCUGCAUUUUUCUAGGAAUCGGUUCCGCAUUGGCCACUCCAUUCCAUUGAUCACGUCUGGAGCGACUGCAGAUCGGAGCAGCUGGCGGAUCGGAGAUUACUCAUGCAGAGAUUGAGAAUGGAGCGGGCUUGGAGCAUCUCCGGUGCGGAAGUGGCGCCCGUCGCUCUCCGGGCCACCGAGCUCGAUUUAGUCAUGCAUCUGGCGGCGGCGGGCACGGCGAAGACUCUUUUCCGGCCUGCGGGCACGUGGGGAGAGCUCUCUGCAUUCUGCAGUCUACAUUCUCCGCGACGCUCGCCGCUCGUUGCACUUGGCCCACUGCGUUAUUGGCCAACAUUUGUUUUGGUCUCUUUGGGGUGGCAGACCACACAAUCGGCAUUCAAGUUAUGCAACACUCUCGGAAGCGAGCGCACCCAGCGACCUUUUAAGCGCGUCUGCCCCGCUCCAAGUCAACACUGCCACUCCAGAGCUGACCGCGGUAGCAGCCAAGGUUCCACGAAAAGAAUUGGGAACAGGAAUAGGAAUUGGCAUUGGAAUAGGAAUACUAAGGAUACCAGCAGCCCUCCCUCCACAACCCUCAACCCCAAUCAGAUGUGCCCGGGGUAACGGCGACAAAUUGCUUCCUGUUAUAAUCCGAGAGUCAUCUGAAGUAAAGUGCCCACCAUGACGCACUGCCUCUGGUCGACGGUGCUGGGCCUUCUGGCCCUGCUCUCCAUGGCGACCAGUCGAUCGGUGCGCCAGCUGCCAAGUGCAUACUCGCAUCCGCCCGUGCUGCCCGGCGGAUACUACGGACAGCCGCCCUACGCCUACCCCCCGCACUACGGCUACGGCUACCAGGCGCCACACCCGCCGCCACCCGUUUACAGCCCCUACUUUGACAACGUUUUCGGAGUCUACAAGAGCUACCCCGGCGGCGGAUAUCCCGUGCGGUUCGAUUAUAACAAUCGUUGCUCUCGGAACUACAUUGGCAUCAAGCCACAUCCGGAUCAGCAGCAGUACUACUAUGUCUGCAAGCCGAACUGUGUGAUUUUCAGCAAAUGUCGCGAUCUUGAGAGUUUCAAUCCGAGCAGCGGGCGCUGCGUGCAGCACAUUCCGCAGCACAGGCCGGACCACAGUCCCCCGAAUUGUCAGAAGGAGGGCCGCUUCCCACAUCCGCACGACUGCAAGGUGUACUACAGGUGCGACAAAAACCGGACGCAACCCUGGCUCUUCGCCUGCCCCGCGGGCACCAUUUUCUCGCCGGUGGAGCGAAAGUGCCUGCCCGGUGACCAGUGCCCCUCGACGGAGAUAUCGGACAGUGGCAGCUACAUCCCCCAGAACUGCGAGCUCAAGUUCCCCGAGUGUGCGGGUGAAGGCACCUUCCGCUCGCCGACGGACUGCUCCCUCUAUUACACAUGCCGACUGCAGGAUAGCGGUACCUAUCUGCAGACCCGAUUCAAGUGCCCCGGCAGCAACAGUUUUGAUCCCGAGCGUAAGCUGUGUCGUCCCCGCAACGAAGUCGACUGCUUUGACUUUGUCCCGCAACCACCAUUGCCGGUACCCUAUGCUCCACAGCCAUACUAUCCUCCCUAUCAAGCGCCACCGCUCUUCGAGGAGGACGACUACGAUACAGAUGCCAAGGAACAGCAGCCGGCUCUUAAGUCCGAAAAACUUCAGGUAGCAGGAGGCUUUGAAAGACCCUCGGUAAAUGUGGUUAUUUUGCCCACAAAGUCCACGCCAGCGACCACAACCACUUCGGAACGCACCACUGCCUAUUACAAAUACGAGAAUUAUCCUUCGUACCACUCACAUCAUCACAAAAAAGUAGAACCUUCUGCAGAAAGCCAAACGGUUGAGAAAGAGGAUGUCUUGCGCAAAUUAAAGCUGUCGGAGAAUGUUGUAAUCCUGCCCACCACACCGGCGACUACUACUACCAAUCGUGAGUCCUCAAAGGAAACCACCAAAUAUCAAUACAAGAGAUACACCUAUGCAACUGAGACUCCAAAGAUCGAACCUGCAUUAAGUGGUUUGCACCUUUCGAAAAAUAUUGUCGUUCUGCCCACUACCCACUACACGACUACGCCCAAACCAACAGUUCCGACUUGCCCCCCCUUACCAACGCCGAGUACGACAGCUAAGCCAAGUACGACUACCACUGAGAGAUCCACCACGACCCCGAAAACAUCUACGAUUAAAACAACUACUCAGAGUCCGAAAACAACGACCCAGAAAACCUCAACAGUUACCGAAAGAACUACCACGCCGACUCUGAAAACUACUAUUGUGACAACAACGACUCAGAAACGAAGCACCACCACUCACAAAUCCUCACCAGUUACUAAAACGACAAAAAAAGCAACAACCAUUACUCUUAAAACCACAACAAGUACCGACAAACCCACUACUUUGAAAACAACUACAGUGAAAACAACUACUCAAAAGCCAAUAACGACUUCGCAGAAAACAUCAACAGUUGCUUCUACCACCAAAGAAACAACAGAAAGUUCACCUAAGCCUACAGCAAGUACUGAAAAACCAACUACGACUUCUACGACCACUCAAAAACCAAAAACUACUACUUCUAAACCUACAACAACGACCCAGAAAACACCACCGACGACUCAAAAGCCAACUACUGUGACUACCUCUACCCAGAAGCCAACAACGACUACUGAGCAAACCUCAACUAGCAAGAAAACAACAACGAUUACUCCAAAGCCUACAACAACUACCCAGAAGACAACCACGAGGGAUCCAAGCACAACCAAAGUGACAUCCACUUCCCAUAAAACAACUACGACUACUGAGAAAAUCUCUACAAUAACUACGACAACCUCAAAGCCAACUACAGUGACAACCACUACCAAAACACCAAUAACGACUACUCCAAAAUCGUCAACCGUUAGUACUACCACCCAAAAAACAACAGAAAGUUCACCUAAGCCCACAACGAGUACGCCAAAACCUACCACUACCACUCGACAAACCUCUACAAUAACUACGACUACACAAAAACCGACAACUACUACUCCUAAACCUACAUCAACGACCCAGACCACAACAACGACAACUGCAAAGCCAACUACAGUGACAACUACUACUCAUAAACCAACAUCGACCACUCCGAAGUCGUCAGCCGCUACUACUACCACUCAAAAAACAACAGAAAGUUCUCCUAAACCGACAACAAGUACUGAAAAACCCACCACGACUACUCAGAAAAGCUCCACAGCAACGACAACCACUGGAAAACCGACAAUUACUACGGUUAAACCUACAAAGACUACUCCAAGACCCACUACAACGACCAAGAAAACUACAACCACGACUCUGAAGCCAACUACUGUGACAACCACUACUGAAAAACCAACAACGACUACUCAGAAAACGUCAACAGCUACUUCUACCACCGAGAAAUCAACGGAAAGUUCUCCUAAGCCCACAACAAGUACCGAAAAACCGACAACGACUACAGUACCAAAGACCACUCAAGAGCCACUAACUAAUACUCCAGAAUCGACAACAACGACGACUCCGAAGCCAACUACUGUGACAACCACUACCCGGAAAUCAACGACGACCACUCCGAAAACGUCAACAGUUACUACCACCACCACGAAAACAACAACGACUACUAUUAUAGCCUCUAGUACGACCCCUCAGAAGCCAACAACUUCUACUCCGAAACCCUCAACCACUACAGAGACAACCUCCACUCAAAAGUCAACAACAACCACUCCGAACACCUCUACAGUAACCACGACCUCACCAAAACCAAGCACAACCACACUAAAACCGACCACUACUACUGGGAAAUCAACCUCAGUUACGGCAAGAAGCACAAGUGUCCCGACCACGAGGAGUCCCACAACCAUUCCAGCGCAGAACUCCACCAGCACGACUGAGCUGACCACAGUCACGCGACCACCUUGUCCCGAUCCGGACUCCACCUCAGAUAAAAACACAAACCCCGCAUGCACACAAGAACUCCAACAAGUUAAACAACUCCAACUGCACUCACCGCAAAAACCAGAAGAACUCACCCGCAUACAAGCCAAGACAGGGUUAGGCGAAAGUAUAAAUGUUUUGGGCGGGCGGGAUGAGCUUGACUACAUGGACGAUGCACCAUCUUCCGGGGAAGGGGAAUCUGGGCAGGCGACCACGGCUAGGACUCCGACCAUGUCCACACUGGCCGCGGCCCACCUGCUGCAAAAGCUCUUCCACAUAAUCUCCACCACGCCGCCGAGCAGGGAGCACUCCUCUAGCCAACGUCCGCCCAGUCAGAAAUCUUCCGCCAGCACGCGUCCGCCCGGCGUGACUCUUUCCCAGAUGGCCAGGCACAACCUGGCGACCUCCAAGCCCUUCAUCGCCCACUCCCUGCGGCUCUCCAUCCAGCAGUUGGCAGCCCCCACCCAGAAGCGUUCCAUCCAGCCGCAGGCGCUCGGGUCCCUGAACACCACCAAGAAGGAGCCUGAGGACUCGGAGUACUAUGACAGCGAGACCUCCGAGCAGUACGCAGACGAGGACAACGAAGUGCUGACCAUAACUCAGCCAAAGGCCAUGGCCAGCACAACGGUGGCUGCCGUUCUUCCGGCUCCGUCUUCGACCACUGAGCGGGAGCGGCUUGAGACUAGUUCCUCGCCAAGUCGGACCAGGCCGGUUUCCAGUUCCACCACAGCUCCACUGCCGACGACCACUGAGCGGGAGCGUUUUGAGAUUAGUUCCUCGCCAAGUCGAACCAGGCCGGUUUCCAGUUUCACCACAAAUCCAUUGCCGACGACCCCUGAGCGGGAGCGUCUUGAGAUUAGUUCCAUGCCAAGUCGGACCAGGCCAGUGUCCAGUUCCACUACAGCUCCACUGCCGACGACCACUGAACGAGAGCGUCUUGAGAAUAGUACCUCGCCAAGUCGAACCAGGACAGUGUCCAGUUCCACUACAGCUCCACUGCCGACGACCACUGGCGACCUCGAGUACGGCGAUAGCUCUGGGGACUCGGACUAUCCCAACGACGGGAUAGAUGAUGUUCCGAAUAGCGUAGUCACGAGCCUGGAAGCCAGGAAGAGCUUCUUGCUGAGCCUGCUGAAGGAGCGGCUGACUCGAGUGGAGGACAAAAAGCCUUUGCCAACGUCCCCCACAGCUGCUCCUCGGACAAGUCCCAUGAUGAGCUCAAGUUCUAGCUCAAGUUCCAGCACAGCUUCCAGUACGAGUCCAACCACGAGGUCUGAAUCGACUACGGGUGCACCUUCACCUACAGUUGCACCCGUUCGAGCCAAGAAUUCGACUCAUUUGAGCUCGGAAUACUAUGAUGAAGAUGAGGACUAUGUGGAAGAUGAGCCCGCCCAUUCGUCAGAUGCUGAGAAGAAAGAAGGGGGCACAGGCUUAGUGGCCAAGAAGCCUCCAGUUGCCACGGGCAAGAGGCACGUUGCUCUGAUGCAGCAUAAAAUGGCAUCUCGAACUGCCAAAAACGAGGGGCAAUCGAAGGCUGCAACGGAAGGUCUGCUGCUCAAGGGACUGGCAAUCGGGGAUAGUCAGUUUCCCUCCAAAAAUCCUCUCAGCCGGGCACUGGGAAGCAAGGGUGAUAGCAACCAGGCUCUAAACGGAAAUGCUCCCAAUACAAUUGGUCAUCCGGCGAGGCUAACCAUUGAACACUCAUUAAUGCAGACAACGAUGCCAAAUAUAAUACCUACAAGCGAAACAUCCACUCCAAAACCAUCAUCCACAUCCACAGAAGCAUCAAUGACACGACCAAGUUUCAUGACCAGUCGACUGGUUAAAGCGCUAGAACAACGAAAACUAGAAGCAAUCACUCAGAGAACAUUAGAAAUAGUCACACCGACCACAUCGGAAACACUGCCCACAGCAUCGGCCGUGGUCGCAUCCGCGAUGGUGCCGUGGGCCGCCUCCACUGGACGCCGGGAUGCAGUGCUGUCGGUGAACAGCAUGCCCUGGUUGCUGGCGGCCCGCAACCAAACCGUCCACCUAACACCCCUCUCAUCCAACGCCACCACCAUUCGCGGCCGAGCGCCGAGCAACCCAGUGAGCCCCAAUAACCCCACCUCCAACCCAACAGUGUCCAGCCCCGAGGACUAUUCCACCGAGAAGGUGCCGCAGCUCAUCGUCAAGGUGUACGAGCCCAUCGACCUGAAGAUCGUCUUCUGCCCGAAGUCCUGCGACCAGGACCACGACCACAAAUACGAUUCCCUGCAAGCCUGAUUGUUCGCAGUGCUCGGAAAUGGUCGGGCCAGAGCGGAAUGAACUUGAAAUAAAAGCCAGAAACGCACUAAUGUCCUCCGACGACUGGACGGCAAAUAAAAGUUUGCCCCUACAGUGGCCCUCCUCCUCUGCGGUGGUCUCAUGUGCGCGGCGACAAAGUUUUUAUUCCUUUGUUUAGAAUGAGCACAAGUGCGCACGUGUUCCGUUCCACACCGCUUUAGUGCGGCGGGGGAGGACUGGGUGGUACGGAGGAGGAGGAAGAGGAGGAGGAUGGGAAUGGGGCUGCGAGGCCGUUAAAUUUUAAUGCGCCCGUAUCGAUAUGCGUGCAUGGACCGCCAGCGCCAGCGGAAUCUAUAAAAGCCAAGCUCGCGUGUCACCAUCACCAUCACCAUCACCAUCGCCAUCGCCACCUCCAUCCGGCGAUUCCUAUUCCCUCUAAUGCCGCCUGGCUGCCGGUGGUAGCUGCGCAGUCGUGAUAAGGCAAUUGGCAUCUGGAGGUUAGUUGCUGUUGGGCCAAGGAGGCAGGCAGCUGCACUUGCCUAUGAAUAUCCCAUGAGCUCACGCACUCCAACAUUUGCUCGUACUUUGCAUAAAUUCGCAAUGUCGCGACUUCUAAUCAAUAGCCCUAGCCGGGGGAGCCAAAAUGGAGUCGAAUUUGAAGGAAAGAAGAGCCCAGCCGUCUGCAAAACCAGAAGAUGGAUGAAAUAAGUACCGAUUUCGGAGAACUGGCAGGAAAAACAAGAGGAAAAUGAAAACACAAUAUAUCUCAUAAAUUAGCUAUUAUUUAUUUCUCUGGCUUUCCUAAU
RNA transcript from Drosophila biarmipes, 8125 nucleotides. It is a transcript of the gene named mucin-5AC, with no coding region annotated. The transcript is spliced from 10 exons. Lineage: Eukaryota; Metazoa; Arthropoda; Insecta; Diptera; Drosophilidae. The record is from RefSeq and is a predicted model, not a curated record.